Eucalyptus grandis is the source of this 313-nucleotide long non-coding RNA. RefSeq lists it as uncharacterized. NCBI's taxonomy places the organism in Eukaryota, Viridiplantae, Streptophyta, Magnoliopsida, Myrtales, Myrtaceae. The transcript is spliced from 2 exons. The record is from RefSeq and is a predicted model, not a curated record.
GAAAAGGGGAAAUUUUCCUCAGUUUUUCAGGUAACAGGCCAGCACAUGGGAAAAUCAAUUACCCAUGAACAAUAUCACGAGCUGAUGGAAACUUUGAAGAAAUUAGAUCCCUCGGAUAGUGGAGGCAGCUUCACAGGCCCGUUCGACUGGCACACUGAUGGGCUUGGGUAGAGUCAGCCAUGGCUUAUAUUUUUGGUUGGAUUUUCCACACUUUUUUGAGUCAUCUCCUGUUCAAUUCAAUAAAUAUCUAUGUAAUGCUACUGCCAAUGGCAUUAAUUUCCUUAAUCAUAAACGUUUGGGUCAUAGUGCAUUA